RNAcentral lists this ribosomal RNA (460 nucleotides) under uncultured bacterium. Its description in RNAcentral is "partial 16S ribosomal RNA". It matches the Rfam family "Bacterial small subunit ribosomal RNA", at positions 338 to 795 of the family's 1533-position model. The record is from RNAcentral.
CCUACGGGGGGCAGCAGUGAGGAAUACUGGUCAAUGGACGAGAGUCUGAACCAGCCAAGUAGCGUGAAGGAUGACUGCCCUAUGGGUUGUAAACUUCUUUUAUAUGGGAAUAAAAUGUUCCACGUGUGGGAUUUUGUAUGUACCAUAUGAAUAAGGAUCGGCUAACUCCGUGCCAGCAGCCGCGGUAAUACGGAGGAUCCGAGCGUUAUCCGGAUUUAUUGGGUUUAAAGGGAGCGUAGGUGGAUUGUUAAGUCAGUUGUGAAAGUUUGCGGCUCAACCGUAAAAUUGCAGUUGAAACUGGCAGUCUUGAGUACAGUAGAGGUGGGCGGAAUUCGUGGUGUAGCGGUGAAAUGCUUAGAUAUCACGAAGAACUCCGAUUGCGAAGGCAGUUCACUGGACUGCAACUGACACUGAGGCUCGAAAGUGUGGGUAUCAAACAGGAUUAGAUACCCUUGUAGUC